UUGAUCCUGGCUCAGAAUCAACGCUGGCGGCGUGCCUAACACAUGCAAGUCGAACGCGGUUACCUCGCAAGGGGUAACUGAGUGGCGAACGGGUGAGUAUCACGUGGGUGACCUACCUUCGAGUGGGGGAUAACGUCCCGAAAGGGACGUUAAUACCGCAUAACAUCCUGCCUUUGAAUAGGUGGGGAUCAAAGCCGGGUAUCGCAAGACCUGGCGCUUGAUGAGGGGCCCGCGCCUGAUUAGCUAGUUUGUGAGGUAAUGGCUCACCAAGGCGACGAUCAGUAUCCGGCCUGAGAGGGUGGACGGACACACUGGGACUGAGACACGGCCCAGACUCCUACGGGAGGCAUCAGUGGGGAAUUGUUCGCAAUGGGCGCAAGCCUGACGACGCAACGCCGCUUGGAGGAUGAAGGUCUUCGGAUUGUAAACUCCUGUUGCUCGGGACGAAAUGCUUCGACCUAACACGUCGAAGUCUGACGGUACCGAGUGAGGAAGCCCCUGCUAACUCUGUGCCAGCAGCCGCGGUAAUAAGGU
This 534-nucleotide ribosomal RNA is filed under the name uncultured Acidobacteriota bacterium. RNAcentral describes it as "bacterial SSU rRNA". It matches the Rfam family "Bacterial small subunit ribosomal RNA", at positions 13 to 529 of the family's 1533-position model. Lineage: Bacteria; Pseudomonadati; Acidobacteriota. The record is from RNAcentral.